RNAcentral lists this ribosomal RNA (492 nucleotides) under uncultured bacterium. Its description in RNAcentral is "partial 16S ribosomal RNA". It matches the Rfam family "Bacterial small subunit ribosomal RNA", at positions 28 to 507 of the family's 1533-position model. The record is from RNAcentral.
GAUGAACGCUAGCUACAGGCUUAACACAUGCAAGUCGAGGGGAAACGGCAUCGAAAGCUUGCUUUUGAUGGGCGUCGACCGGCGCACGGGUGAGUAACGCGUAUCCAACCUGCCCAUCACUUGGGAAUAACCUUGCGAAAGUAAGACUAAUGCCCAAUGACAUCCCACGAAGGCAUCCGAAUGGGAUUAAAGAUUUAUCGGUGAUGGAUGGGGAUGCGUCUGAUUAGCUUGUUGGCGGGGUGACGGCCCACCAAGGCAACGAUCAGUAGGGGUUCUGAGAGGAAGGUCCCCCACAUUGGAACUGAGACACGGUCCAAACGCCUACGGGAGGCAGCAGUGAGGAAUAGUGGUCAAUGGGCGAGAGCCUGAACCAGCCAAGUAGCGUGCAGGAUGACGGCCCUAUGGGUUGUAAACUGCUUUUAUAAGGGAAUAAAGUGGGUCACGUGUGACUUUUUGCAUGUACCUUAUGAAUAAGGACCGGCUAAUUCCGUG